This 1328-nucleotide ribosomal RNA is filed under the name Bacillus sp. (in: firmicutes). Its description in RNAcentral is "bacterial SSU rRNA". It matches the Rfam family "Bacterial small subunit ribosomal RNA", at positions 48 to 1358 of the family's 1533-position model. Lineage: Bacteria; Bacillati; Bacillota; Bacilli; Caryophanales; Bacillaceae. The record is from RNAcentral.
GCUAUACAUGCAAGUCGAGCGGACAGAUGGGAGCUUGCUCCCUGAUGUUAGCGGCGGACGGGUGAGUAACACGUGGGUAACCUGCCUGUAAGACUGGGAUAACUCCGGGAAACCGGGGCUAAUACCGGAUGGUUGUUUGAACCGCAUGGUUCAGACAUAAAAGGUGGCUUCGGCUACCACUUACAGAUGGACCCGCGGCGCAUUAGCUAGUUGGUGAGGUAACGGCUCACCAAGGCAACGAUGCGUAGCCGACCUGAGAGGGUGAUCGGCCACACUGGGACUGAGACACGGCCCAGACUCCUACGGGAGGCAGCAGUAGGGAAUCUUCCGCAAUGGACGAAAGUCUGACGGAGCAACGCCGCGUGAGUGAUGAAGGUUUUCGGAUCGUAAAGCUCUGUUGUUAGGGAAGAACAAGUGCCGUUCAAAUAGGGCGGCACCUUGACGGUACCUAACCAGAAAGCCACGGCUAACUACGUGCCAGCAGCCGCGGUAAUACGUAGGUGGCAAGCGUUGUCCGGAAUUAUUGGGCGUAAAGGGCUCGCAGGCGGUUUCUUAAGUCUGAUGUGAAAGCCCCCGGCUCAACCGGGGAGGGUCAUUGGAAACUGGGGAACUUGAGUGCAGAAGAGGAGAGUGGAAUUCCACGUGUAGCGGUGAAAUGCGUAGAGAUGUGGAGGAACACCAGUGGCGAAGGCGACUCUCUGGUCUGUAACUGACGCUGAGGAGCGAAAGCGUGGGGAGCGAACAGGAUUAGAUACCCUGGUAGUCCACGCCGUAAACGAUGAGUGCUAAGUGUUAGGGGGGUUUCCGCCCCUUAGUGCUGCAGCUAACGCAUUAAGCACUCCGCCUGGGGAGUACGGUCGCAAGACUGAAACUCAAAGGAAUUGACGGGGGCCCGCACAAGCGGUGGAGCAUGUGGUUUAAUUCGAAGCAACGCGAAGAACCUUACCAGGUCUUGACAUCCUCUGACAAUCCUAGAGAUAGGACGUCCCCUUCGGGGGCAGAGUGACAGGUGGUGCAUGGUUGUCGUCAGCUCGUGUCGUGAGAUGUUGGGUUAAGUCCCGCAACGAGCGCAACCCUUGAUCUUAGUUGCCAGCAUUCAGUUGGGCACUCUAAGGUGACUGCCGGUGACAAACCGGAGGAAGGUGGGGAUGACGUCAAAUCAUCAUGCCCCUUAUGACCUGGGCUACACACGUGCUACAAUGGACAGAACAAAGGGCAGCGAAACCGCGAGGUUAAGCCAAUCCCACAAAUCUGUUCUCAGUUCGGAUCGCAGUCUGCAACUCGACUGCGUGAAGCUGGAAUCGCUAGUAAUCGCGGAUCAGCAUGCC